UAGGGAAUCUUCGGCAAUGGGGGGAACCCUGACCGAGCAACGCCGCGUGAGUGAAGAAGGUUUUCGGAUCGUAAAGCUCUGUUGUUAAGGAAGAACGAGUGUGAGAAUGGAAAGUUCAUGCUGUGACGGUACUUAACCAGAAAGGGACGGCUAACUACGUGCCAGCAGCCGCGGUAAUACGUAGGUGGCAAGCGUUGUCCGGAUUUAUUGGGCGUAAAGCGAGCGCAGGCGGUCAAUUAAGUCUGAUGUGAAAGCCCCCGGCUCAACCGGGGAGGGUCAUUGGAAACUGGUUGACUUGAGUGCAGAAGAGGAGAGUGGAAUUCCAUGUGUAGCGGUGAAAUGCGUAGAUAUAUGGAGGAACACCGGUGGCGAAAGCGGCUCUCUGGACUGUAACUGACGCUGAGGCUCGAAAGCGUGGGGAGCGAACAGG
This 430-nucleotide ribosomal RNA is filed under the name Bacteroidota bacterium. RNAcentral describes it as "Bacteroidetes bacterium partial 16S ribosomal RNA". It matches the Rfam family "Bacterial small subunit ribosomal RNA", at positions 355 to 776 of the family's 1533-position model. Lineage: Bacteria; Pseudomonadati; Bacteroidota. The record is from RNAcentral.